CUUCCUUCCUUCGCCUACAACUCCCAGAAUUCCCAGCCAGUUUACCUGCUCUUAGGAUCCCUGGGAGUUGAAGGCCAAAACACAGGUUGAGAACCACUGCGAGAGCCCGUGUGGCUCGUGUCUGAAACCCUUUGCCAGGCUUUUUGCUACUCAGGCCUUAGUGAAUCCUACCGAUCUUGCCAGAAGGCCAUCCUAUCCAAGGUAGGCUUAAUCAUCGUCCUGCCCUUGAGUGACAUAAGUCUCCUGUCACUGUGUUGUAUUUGGCCGAACCCCUUUAGGCAGAAAGGACUGGAUAUUCCUAUUCCCAUUCCUUUGGGAUCAUAGGCACCUAUUCUCCUAUUCCUGCCAGAUACUAUCUAAAGCGAUCACAGACAUUAGGAGGUUUUUAGCAGUAUGCUCUGCUAAAUUUCUCUUCCAAAAUACGACUUCGAACGACCUCUGCUGUUGUUUUUGAGGCCACUUUUCCCUCAGAAAGAGCUUUUUCCCUCAGUUCUUUUCGCAAAAUGGCGCCCCCUGGUGACUGCAAGCUCUCUUUGUAGUCAAAAUGGCUUCUUCUGAGGUAACCUUUCCUUUGUAGCUCUACUCUUUCUGAGGGGCUUGAGUAUGUAAAAUGGCACUUUUAAGCUUUAUUUUGAAAGCUGGCAAGAUCCUAAAACAGCACUUUAUCUUCUAAAGGUCGGAAAAUGUACUGUACUUUUAUCUUUGAGAGCAGGGUAGACAGCACUCCCGCUCCUCAAGGAUGGAAGAAUGAAAAUACUACGUGUUCUGUCCCCAGCACUUGUUAUUUGGACGGCGCCUGUAAAGCAGGGAACAGAUCAAAUGCUACACAUUUGAGCUUCCUGGGUGCCUGGAAUGCAUCAUAUCUGAUAGAGGCCUUCAAUUUAUAUCCAACUUUUGGAAGAGCUUCCUGAGACUAAUGGGCACAGAAAGGGCUCUUAGUACAGCGUUUCACCUGGAGACGGAUGGCACAGCUGAGAUUUUACAACAAUUUUAAAGAUGUUAUAGUACUUAUCAACAAGACCAGUGGAGUUCAUCUGUGGAUUUUGCCGUGUUUGCUUAUACAGUAGAGUUUCACUUAUCCAACACUCGCUUAUCCAAUGUUCUGGAUUAUCCAAUGCAUUUUUGUAGUCAAUGUUUUCAAUAUAUCAUGAUAUUUUGGUGCUAAAUUCACAAAUCCAGUAAUUACUACAUAGCAUUACUGCGUAUUGAACUACUUUUUCUGUCAAAUUUGUUGUAUAACAUGAUGUUUGGGUGCUUAAUUUGUAAAAUCAUAACCUAAUUUGAUGUUUAAUAGGCUUUUCCUUAAUCCCUCCUUAUUAUCCAACAUAUUCGCUUAUCCACCGUUCUGCCGGCCCGUUUAUGUUGGAUAAGUGAGACUCUACUUAAUAAUUCUAAACACUCAUCCACAGGGGUCUCCCCAUUUAAGACCGUCUGAGGGCGAGACUUCCCUCCUUUCCCUGAGUAGGCAAAACAUAAUUCGGAGUGGGAGACACCUCAGAAAUGGGGAGAGAAAAUUGCAGCGGCUUGGCCAAUUAUACAAGCUACUCUGGCAUCUGCCAUGAAGGAUUACAAAAAGUUUGCAGACAAAACUUUUUGGGCUCUAAAACCCAACAACAGGGUGGGAGAGUUAGUAUACCUGUCAACAAAGUAUCUGAAAUCCACUUAGCCCUCCCGGAAGUUAGCCCCCUUUUUGUUGGUCUCUUUCCUGUCUCUGGAAUCAUAAACCUGUUAGCUGUUCGAUUGCAUUUACCGCUAACUUGGUGAAAGAUCCAUCCUGUUUUGCGUGUUAGUCUCAUCAAACGGGCUUGAAUGGUUUUCCGUUGGAGUAAAGCUGACUCCGAACCUAUCCCCAUCAUGGUGGGGGCUCAUACAUAUUUUGAAAUUAAGACUAUUUUAGACUCUAAAUGUUCUAGAGGACAUUUGUACUAUUUAGUACAAUAGAAGUCACAGACGUUACAUCCUGAAUGGGUAGCUACUGAACAUGUGCAAAUCCCCUGCUUUAAAAAGCUGUUUCAUCAAACCUAUCCCUUUAAGCAGGGAAAUGUGUCCUCUUUUCUCCUACUUCCUGUGGAACGACCUGCCAGUAGAGCUCCGACAAUAGACACAAGUGAAGACCUAUCGUUUCAGGCAGGCCUACUUAGUUCUAAUGAUGAAUUUUAAAAUUCAACUCUAUCUCUAACUUGUGUGUACUUGAAUAUGUAUCUUAUGGAAAUAUGUUUAAAUAUGUGUAUUUUGCUGAAUGUUUUAAAAUGAUUACGUAUUUUGAUUAUGUGUUUUAACAAUGCUGUAUCCCACCUCGAGCUGUGAGGAGAGGUAUGUAAUAAAAUUACUAUUAUUAUUUGCUGCCACGGCUCCACUGGCUGCCGAUCUGUUUCCAGACAAAAUUCAAAUGUUAUAGCCUAUAAAGACCUAAAUGGCUCAGGUCCAGGCUAUUUGACUCCUUGUCCAAACCUACCUGGGCGCUAGAAUCCUCAAGAGAAGCCCUUGUCUCACUCCCACCACUAUCACAAGCAUGGUUGGUGGAUGUAAAAUGACCACUGCCUAGAAUUCAUCAAAUGUGGCAACUCCACCCAAGUGCCAAUUGUAUUUUUGGCUGGCCCCUAUAUGGAUAUGGAAUGAGCUUACUUUCUACGCCUUCAGAGGAAGAUCUGAAACACUGGAUAAUUUUUAGAACUUGUAAAUGGAUUUGGUUAACUACAAGCAUAAUGGAGCUUUACCCAGAGACGACACAAUUCCCAAAUUCUCCUCCAUGAUUUGCUGAUGCAAGGCUUUUUGGCUCGGAUCCAAGAGGGCCCACUCUUUCUCUGAGAAAUCCACAGAAACAUCUUCAAAAGUCACCUGAAGAGAAAAAAAGUUAUCUGCAAAUAGAAAAUGCCAAGUAGGUCAGAAAAAACAGGCCAUUUGUGAUUUACGUCUUAGAAUCAUAGAAAACACCUUGGAUCGAAGGAAUGUAGAAGAAAGAGGUUCAUUUAGACACAGGGCAAUAUUCAAGGGACAAAGAGACCCGGCUUCCCCUCCCCUCUCCUCCUGGGAUCCUGCUGCCUACCUGAUCUGUUCCCAUAGAAUCUCUUCUUAGGAAAGAAUCAUGAAAAGUUGUGCUACUAUCACUUGGCCACGUUUCACUGCCUGUGAAAGAGAGGAAAGACAUUGGGGAGGGUGAGACCGGUCCCUUUUCCAGGCUGCCCCACAGUUCCUUCCCUCGGAAGCCUGCCACUCUCCACUUGGCCCGUGACGCCUUUUUAAACUCCCUCCUUGGUCCCAAGUCUUUAAUGUGGACUAUUCUGUUUUCCAGGGGGGUUGCGAUCUAUUCCCAGGAAACGUAGAUGGUUGACUGUAUUAGUUUCUGUAUUUGUGCCAAUGUAACCAAGAGCACAUUCACCACCAUAAACAUCCAGAGAGAAGCAAAGGAAUCAAGUAACUUUGAAAGUGGCACAAAUAAGUAUUGUAGAGAAAUGUCUCUUGUCAACAGCAUUCUCCAAGAAGGGAGAAAGAAUAUGGUAAUAUUUGUAUGCAUGAAGAUGGGUGCAUGUUGUGUGUGAAUGCUAAGUGAAAAUAUAACUCCCCUUGUCUGUCUGUUAGCCAGUGUAACUGUAGGCUGUGAAUCCAAUGUAGUUGCAUAGAAUCUGUAUGUCUAAUGUCAUUCUUUGUUGUUCUGCAAAAGUUCUGCUAUACCUCUUAGACUGAACUUGCGAUAAAAGAACCUAUGCUUCAAAGUUAUUGAAAUGUUAUUCAUAACAUUUUGGUGUCAGAAGUGGGAUAGUUUGUUCAGUCUGAGCAGGAUAUUUUAACCUUUGUUUUAAAAGUAUUCAUGACACAGACAUUUCAGGUCUACAAGUGAACAAGCAAGAAGGACCACUGGCCAUCCCUUACCAACUGUGAUAGAUUCUCCAAUCUGGCCAACGCACAUGGUGUCUGAAGGAGACUCCUCCACCUGGUUGAUCCCAUCUGUACAAGAGUCCUGUACCUGAACAGGAAGCACAGAUCACAAAGAAAAGGAAAGAUUAGAAAAGGAGGGAGGGCUCUUUCUGCAAUCUGUUUCAGACCGCUUGGGUUAUGGUUGGGACCAAGACUGGUUUUCUUCAUUCUUUCUCCUUGAUUUUGAUGUGGGAAUUCUGCCUUCCUUUGGGCACUGCACUCUGCUUCAGGACUUGAUCUGAAGGGAAAGGGCUACUGCUGAGUUGAAGGAAGUGCUUUACGUAAUCCUGGGGUUGUAAUUUGGGGCUACCCUAGAGGGAUUCUCGGGCUGAGUAACCUAAGUCUGCAUAUCUGUGCUUUCAGGUCCCUGUUAUCUCUGUUGAACUUCAACCCCACACUGCUCAAGUCUGCAGUCCUCAAUGAGGAAUAAUUAGUUAGCUUUAGAAUAGGCUGAGGGAAUUUCUCCCUCCACCCCCCCCCCCUGCCCGACUCCUGAAUGACAAUUGGAAAGUAUAUAUUUGUUCUCUUCUCUAUUUUUCCGCUCUCAUUCUGAUUGGUUCUGUAGAAUGGAUACUUUACAGGUGCAUGCCUUUAUUACUUCUGCUUUUUUCCAUCUCAGUGAGUGUGUAUUUAGACCUCUCCCAGCUGGUGUGUCAGGAGAGAUGUAGUGCUUGGAGAUUUUUCCCUCUUUUAAACCCUAGAAGAGAUGGAGUUCAGAGUAGCUCAAACCCAGUUCGUUACUAUUAAGAAGUGUAAUGAUUUUUGUAAAUAAAUCUUUUGUAAUUUUAAA
This is a long non-coding RNA of Anolis carolinensis (green anole), 4705 nucleotides long. RefSeq lists it as uncharacterized. The record is from RefSeq and is a predicted model, not a curated record. The transcript is spliced from 2 exons. NCBI's taxonomy places the organism in Eukaryota, Metazoa, Chordata, Lepidosauria, Squamata, Anolidae.